Molecule: long non-coding RNA, 796 nt
Organism: Apis cerana (Asiatic honeybee)
Lineage: Eukaryota; Metazoa; Arthropoda; Insecta; Hymenoptera; Apidae
Source: RefSeq, a predicted model, not a curated record
GUGUGCACAUGCACAUAAACGGGCCAUUGUAUGGCGUUCGAGACACGUUUAACGACAUGCACGAAGAGUAAUCGUGGCGAAGAAUCAGCGGCCUUUCUCCCAACGCCUCCUCACGUUCAUUCCGUUACCAUACGGUCACCGGUGCGCUUAUCUCCCACCUUCGCGAGAAACUUCGACCUGAAUCUCUUUAAAGACUGCAUUACGCGUGGCCGUUUCUCGUUUCUCGUUUCUCCAACGAUCUUGUUUUGCUCGCGACUACGAGAGGAACCAGGACGUUGCCAUGCGAGCCUCUAUCGAUGUACAGUGAAAUUUUCCGUUAACCGACAACCGACACCCUUUUUCUUUUCCUCCUCUCUAUUCUUCUUUUUUUUUAAUUAGAUUUUUCUUUACCAAAAUCAUUCGAUCGAAUACGAGGACCCCUCUUUCGAUUAUAAGAUACUCGUUUGUGCUAUAAACGAAAUUCAAGUAUAUUCCAUUGAAUUAUUUUCAAGUAAGAAUAAUGGAUACCAAGAUUACGAUUCGUUUGUUUUACAAAUGUCAUGCUUUAUAUUUUGUGUUGUAAAUGUGAGAAUAUAUAUCUUCUUUACCAUAUGCAGGCAAUCCGAAUUCAAUUUUUUUUCAAAACAAAUAUAAGGAUUUAAGUGAAUUAUAUUAUAAACUUUCAAUCGAAAUUAAUAUAUUAAUAAUUAAUGCAACCAGCCUACAUAUCCCGACUCGACGUGAAUUGCGUAAAAACUUCAAGAGGCCGAUCAAAGUGGAUUUAAAAAAAAAAUGCCACAAUCUGCGUGUCUUAUUU